Paramuricea clavata is the source of this 159-nucleotide non-coding RNA. Lineage: Eukaryota; Metazoa; Cnidaria; Anthozoa; Malacalcyonacea; Plexauridae. The record is from the annotation of a GenBank genome assembly.
UUAUCAGACGUGUCACAAGGUUGUUCUAACAAGUCUGAUACAGUCAUGAUAUAACAAGAAUGUUACAACUUACAAGGUUGAUGACACAUGGUUGUAACAAUACUGCUAUAUCAUGACUGUAUUGGACUUGUUGGAACAACCUUGGAACAAGUCUGAUAA